Molecule: microRNA precursor, 143 nt
Filed under: Mnemiopsis leidyi (sea walnut)
Lineage: Eukaryota; Metazoa; Ctenophora; Tentaculata; Lobata; Bolinopsidae
Description: microRNA mir-286
Source: RNAcentral
UUAAUGAGAAAUAGGACUGCCAGUGUAGUCACGUACAUCUUUUAACAAGGAAUACGCAAUAAUAUAACUAAAGUUAUAUCAUUGCGUAUUCCUUGUUAAAAGAUGUACGUGACUACACUUGCAGUCCUAUUUCUCAUUAAGAU